Molecule: ribosomal RNA, 638 nt
Filed under: uncultured Gammaproteobacteria bacterium
Lineage: Bacteria; Pseudomonadati; Pseudomonadota; Gammaproteobacteria
Description: bacterial SSU rRNA
Rfam family: Bacterial small subunit ribosomal RNA
Source: RNAcentral
CGAAUUCGCCCUUAGAGUUUGAUCAUGGCUCAGAUUGAACGCUGGCGGCAGGCCUAAGACAUGCAAGUCGAACGGUAACGACACUAGCUUGCUAGUGGGCGACGAGUGGCGGACGGGUGAGUAACGCGUAGGAAUCUACCUAGUAGUGGGGGAUAGCCAAGGGAAACUUUGGGUAAUACCGCAUACGAUCUACGGAUGAAAGGGGGCCUCUCUUUGAAGCUCUCGCUAUUAGAUGAGCCUGCGUAAGAUUAGCUUGUUGGUGGGGUAAUGGCUCACCAAGGCGACGAUCUUUAGCUGGUCUGAGAGGAUGAUCAGUCACACUGGAACUGAGACACGGUCCAGACUCCUACGGGAGGCAGCAGUCGGGAAUAUUGGACAAUGGGGGAAACCCUGAUCCAGCCAUGCCGCGUGUGUGAAGAAGGCUCUAGGGUUGUAAAGCACUUUUAGUAGUGAGGAAGGCUCAGUAGUUAAUACCUACUGGGAUUGACGUUAGCUACAGAAAAAGCACCGGCUAAUUUCGUGCCAGCAGCCGCGGUAAUACGAAAGGUGCAAGCGUUAAUCGGAAUUACUGGGCGUAAAGCGCGCGUAGGCGGCUUGAUAAGUUGGAUGUGAAAGCCCCGGGCUCAACCUGGGGAACU